AUUGAACGCUGGCGGCAGGCCUAACACAUGCAAGUCGAACGGUAACAGGAAACAGCUUGCUGUUUCGCUGACGAGUGGCGGACGGGUGAGUAAUGUCUGGGAAACUGCCUGAUGGAGGGGGAUAACUACUGGAAACGGUAGCUAAUACCGCAUAACGUCGCAAGACCAAAGAGGGGGACCUUCGGGCCUCUUGCCAUCGGAUGUGCCCAGAUGGGAUUAGCUAGUAGGUGGGGUAACGGCUCACCUAGGCGACGAUCCCUAGCUGGUCUGAGAGGAUGACCAGCCACACUGGAACUGAGACACGGUCCAGACUCCUACGGGAGGCAGCAGUGGGGAAUAUUGCACAAUGGGCGCAAGCCUGAUGCAGCCAUGCCGCGUGUAUGAAGAAGGCCUUCGGGUUGUAAAGUACUUUCAGCGGGGAGGAAGGGAGUAAAGUUAAUACCUUUGCUCAUUGACCUUGCCCGCAGAAGAAGCACCGGCUAACUCCGUGCCAGCUACCACGGUAAUACGGACGGUGCAAGCGUAAAUCGGAAUUACUGGACGUAAAGCGCGUUCAGGAGGUUUGUUAAGUCUGAUGUUGAAUUCCCCGGGCUCACCCUGGGGACCUGCAUCUGAUACUGCCCAAGCUUGACCUCCGUCGAGGGGGGUAGAAUUCCAGGUGUAGCGGUGAAAUGCGUAGAGAUCUGGAGGAAUACCGGUGGCGAAGGCGGCCCCCUGGACGAAGACUGACGCUCAGGUGCGAAAGCGUGGGGAGCAAACAGGAUUAGAUACCCUGGUAGUCCACGCCGUAAACGAUGUCGACUUGGAGGUUGUGCCCUUGAGGCGUGGCUUCCGGAGCUAACGCGUUAAGUCGACCGCCUGGGGAGUACGGCCGCAAGGUUAAAACUCAAAUGAAUUGACGGGGGCCCGCACAAGCGGUGGAGCAUGUGGUUUAAUUCGAUGCAACGCGAAGAACCUUACCUGGUCUUGACAUCCACAGAACUUUCCAGAGAUGGAUUGGUGCCUUCGGGAACUGUGAGACAGGUGCUGCAUGGCUGUCGUCAGCUCGUGUUGUGAAAUGUUGGGUUAAGUCCCGCAACGAGCGCAACCCUUAUCCUUUGUUGCCAGCGGUCCGGCCGGGAACUCAAAGGAGACUGCCAGUGAUAAACUGGAGGAAGGUGGGGAUGACGUCAAGUCAUCAUGGCCCUUACGACCAGGGCUACACACGUGCUACAAUGGCGCAUACAAAGAGAAGCGACCUCGCGAGAGCAAGCGGACCUCAUAAAGUGCGUCGUAGUCCGGAUUGGAGUCUGCAACUCGACUCCAUGAAGUCGGAAUCGCUAGUAAUCGUGGAUCAGAAUGCCACGGUGAAUACGUUCCCGGGCCUUGUACACACCGCCCGUCACACCAUGGGAGUGGGUUGCAAAAGAAGUAGGUAGCUUAACCUUCGGGAGGGCGCUUACCACUUUGUGAUUCAUGACUGGGGUGAAGUCGUAACAAGGUA
RNAcentral lists this ribosomal RNA (1483 nucleotides) under uncultured bacterium. Its description in RNAcentral is "16S ribosomal RNA". It matches the Rfam family "Bacterial small subunit ribosomal RNA". The record is from RNAcentral.